RNAcentral lists this ribosomal RNA (497 nucleotides) under uncultured bacterium. RNAcentral's name for it is "partial 16S ribosomal RNA". It matches the Rfam family "Bacterial small subunit ribosomal RNA", at positions 28 to 507 of the family's 1533-position model. The record is from RNAcentral.
GAUGAACGCUGGCGGCGUGCCUAAUACAUGCAAGUCGAGCGAACAGACGAGGAGCUUGCUCCUUUUACGUUAGCGGCGGACGGGUGAGUAACACGUGGGUAACCUACCUAUAAGACUGGGAUAACUUCGGGAAACCGGAGCUAAUACCGGAUAAUAUUUCGAACCGCAUGGUUCGAUAGUGAAAGAUGGCUCUGCUAUCACUUAUAGAUGGACCUGCGCCGUAUUAGCUAGUUGGUAAGGUAACGGCUUACCAAGGCAACGAUACGUAGCCGACCUGAGAGGGUGAUCGGCCACACUGGAACUGAGACACGGUCCAGACUCCUACGGGAGGCAGCAGUAGGGAAUCUUCCGCAAUGGGCGAAAGCCUGACGGAGCAACGCCGCGUGAGUGAUGAAGGUCUUCGGAUCGUAAAACUCUGUUAUUAGGGAAGAACAAACGUGUAAGUAACUGUGCACGUCUUGACGGUACCUAAUCAGAAAGCCACGGCUAACUACGUG